RNAcentral lists this transfer RNA (72 nucleotides) under Ovis aries (sheep). It matches the Rfam family "tRNA". From Rfam's summary of the family: Transfer RNA (tRNA) molecules are approximately 80 nucleotides in length. Their secondary structure includes four short double-helical elements and three loops (D, anti-codon, and T loops). The record is from Rfam by way of RNAcentral. Lineage: Eukaryota; Metazoa; Chordata; Mammalia; Artiodactyla; Bovidae.
CCCCUGCUGGCUCAGAGGGUAAAGCAUCUGCCUGCAAUGCAGGAAACCCGGGUUUGAUUCCUGGGUCGGGAA